RNAcentral lists this ribosomal RNA (263 nucleotides) under uncultured bacterium. RNAcentral describes it as "partial 16S ribosomal RNA". It matches the Rfam family "Bacterial small subunit ribosomal RNA", at positions 523 to 776 of the family's 1533-position model. The record is from RNAcentral.
UAGCGAAGGGGGCUAGCGUUGCUACGGGAAUGACUGGGCGUAAAGGGCGCGUAGGCGGAUUGUACAGUCAGGCGGUGAAAUUCCCCGGGCUCAACCUGGGGGACUGCGCUUGAGACGUGCGAUCGUUGAGUGGGGAAGAGGGUCGUGGAAGUUCCCAAGUGUAGAGGUGAAAUUCGUAGAUAUUGGGAAGAACACCGGUGGCGAAGGCGGCGACCUGGUCCGAUACUGACGCUGAGGUGACGAAAGCGUGGGGAGCAAACAGG